CNUGGCNUUGCNCCGGCAAUGGUNCAUNCAANUUNCUNCCCUAUCAACUUUCGAUGGUAGGAUAGUGGCCUACCAUGGUGUUAACGGGUAACGGGGAAUNAGGGUUCUAUUCCGGAGAGGGAGCCUGAGAAACGGCUACCACAUCCAAGGAAGGCAGCAGGCGCGCAAAUUACCCAAUCCCGACACGGGGAGGUAGUGACAAUAAAUACUGAUACAGGGCCCUUUCGGGUCUUGUAAUUGGAAUGAGUACAAUUUAAAUCCCUUAACGAGGAACAAUUGGAGGGCAAGUCUGGUGGACUGACACAGUCCCGGCAGGGUGGGCUUCGGUCCCCCCUCGCUGGCGCCAGCGACAGGCGGUCGUCCCGGGCAGCUCACGGGCCCGGGGGAUCGGCUUAGUGGAGGUUACCCUCCGCAAGGUGUUCGGCACGGGGAAGGGCCAUCUUGGCUUCAUCCCGUGGUCGGGAGGUACUGUACCGCCCGGCCUUAACGCGCGCAAGGACGCCGGUGGACAGUGUGUUCACUUGAGGGACGUGCUAAACCCGCCCGUCAAGGGCCUGGAGCGACCUCUCGUCAGAGUGCUCCCCCGGGGAUGAAUAGGCCAGCAGCCGCGGUAAUUCCAGCUCCAAUAGCGUAUAUUAAAGUUGUUGCAGUUAAAAAGCUCGUAGUUGAACCUUGGGCCUGGCUGGCCGGUCCGCCUCACCGCGUGCACUGGUCCGGCCGGGCCUUUCCUUCUGGGGAUCCACAUGCCCUUCACUGGGUGUGCCGGGGAACCAGGACUUUUACUUUGAAAAAAUUAGAGUGUUCAAAGCAGGCCUAUGCUCGAAUACAUUAGCAUGGAAUAAUAGAAUAGGACGUGUGGUUCUAUUUUGUUGGUUUCUAGGACCGCCGUAAUGAUUAAUAGGGAUAGUCGGGGGCAUCAGUAUUCAAUUGUCAGAGGUGAAAUUCUUGGAUUUAUUGAAGACUAACUACUGCGAAAGCAUUUGCCAAGGAUGUUUUCAUUAAUCAGUGAACGAAAGUUAGGGGAUCGAAGACGAUUUUUCCGCAGUGUCCGGUCGUCCACAGCAACGCUAGUCCGGGGUUCUUCCCCCGGGCGACACCAUUCAACUGAGGGGCCCCUGCGUCCAGGCGGUGAGAACCGAUCCGCGCAGGCCACCCACAGCCAAGUCCCAGUUCCCCUGGGAUGCAGUCUACAGACUGAAUGAGGGUGGGCCAGGGAGUCAAAAUUGGCACUCCGUGGUUUUUGAUACAGUCGAGUCCGGCGUCUCACGGGGCCGGUACUUACGCAGAUACCGUCGUAGUCUUAACCAUAAACUAUGCCGACUAGGGAUCGGACGGUGUUACUAUUUUGACCCGUUCGGCACCUUACGAGAAAUCAAAGUCUUUGGGUUCUGGGGGGAGUANGGUCGCAAGGCUGAAACUUAAAGAAAUUGACGGAAGGGCACCACCAGGCGUUGGUUCGCAAGCUUUGCGCCAGAAAGUCCCCACCGUGGGCACUAGUCUGGGUGUGUAUGCACCCGGCGAGGCCCUUGAUCUGCUCGUACACCGGAGUCCGCUCCGGCUACCAGCAGCCUGUAUGUACAGGUCCACAGAUCAAGGAAGGGUCGGCAGCGCAUUUGCUGCUUGAGAUAUGAUCGGUCUGGGGGGGCCCGCAACCCCCCAGGAGGCACGGGAGCCUGCGGCUUAAUUUGACUCAACACGGGGAAACUCACCAGGUCCAGACACAAUAAGGAUUGACAGAUUGAGAGCUCUUUCUUGAUCUUGUGGGUGGUGGUAACGCCGCGUGUGCCACCUACAGCUACAACAUAGCUAGCCUGGGUUCGCCCAGACGACAUUCCCAAGGUGCUGAAAGCCUCCGAUGCGAGCAGCCUCGGAGGUAUCAGCAGUCAGGCGCACUUUCACGGCGUGCCCUGGCUCACAGACUAGAUGGGAGUGGGCUGGUCCCUCCAGAUGGGGGCUCCAGUUGUGAGAUAUAGCCGAACCC
This 1981-nucleotide ribosomal RNA is filed under the name Acarospora complanata. RNAcentral describes it as "SSU rRNA". It matches the Rfam family "Eukaryotic small subunit ribosomal RNA", at positions 272 to 1472 of the family's 1831-position model. The record is from RNAcentral. Lineage: Eukaryota; Fungi; Ascomycota; Lecanoromycetes; Acarosporales; Acarosporaceae.